CUUGGGCUGGUCACAAUAAAAGGCCACUCUUUAAUCUGCAGUUUGACCUUUAAAGAAAAGACUUUCAUUCAGAUUUCUCACGACUAAUGUUACAGAGAUGCCGUAUAAAGAAGUGGUUAUACGCCGACCCAGAGCACUGCAAACAUGCUCAAUGGAUGACAUGCCUGCAGUGGGAACAUCUGGAAGAUCUUCAUCUCAUGUUUCACCUCCAGACUCUCCUCACAUACAGCCUGCACAGUGUGAAAGAGGCCUCUCAGAUAACCCAAUCAUGACAAUGCACAAAUCAUGCAUUCAUCAACAUCGAUGCAGCUGUAGUCUAUUUUAUCGGUCCAUUAGAUGGAGACAUGACAGAAUUCAAAUAAUGUGAAAACAAAGGCUGCUGUGCAUUCAAAUCUAAUA
Molecule: long non-coding RNA, 399 nt
Organism: Epinephelus lanceolatus (giant grouper)
Lineage: Eukaryota; Metazoa; Chordata; Actinopteri; Perciformes; Serranidae
Source: RefSeq, a predicted model, not a curated record